ACCCUCGUGGCAAAACGGUUAAGGCGUCGGCUUUCUAAGCCGAAGAUUGCGUGUUCGAAUCUCGCCGGAAGUA
Paramuricea clavata is the source of this 73-nucleotide non-coding RNA. NCBI's taxonomy places the organism in Eukaryota, Metazoa, Cnidaria, Anthozoa, Malacalcyonacea, Plexauridae. The record is from the annotation of a GenBank genome assembly.